AGGGGUGGAAACGAGCCGAGCUCGAGCGAGCUUAUGUCAGCUCAAAUUCGGCUUGAAAUUAAUUUCGAGCCUAAAUCUAGGCUCAAGCUCGGCUUGAAAUUAAUUCGAGCCGAGCUCGAGUGAGCCUAAUUUCGAGUCAAGCCGAGCUCGAGCUCUAAAUGAGCCGAUUGAAAUUCUAGACAUUAUAUAAUCAAUAGUUUAAUUUUUAUAGAAUAUUACCUAUAAUUUGAUGCAACAUGUUCAAUAGUUCAAAAUACAAAAUAAUUGUAAGAAAUGUGAGCUAGGGUGACUGUCUAACUGGGUGAGGGUCAGAGUGAUAGAGAGAGAGAGAGAGAGAGAGGGGAAAAAAAAUUAGGGAUUUGAAAAUUUGAAUGUUAUCAUGUUUUAGGAUUACGUGCAACAGUAAAAGUCUGAAAGAGAGAGUGUGUUAUGUAAUUUAGAAUUGGGCUCAAUUACACGGUUGUACUUGUUGGGUUUAUUUUAUGGGCCAACAAUAAUGGCCCAAAUUAAAUUAAAGCCUAUAUAUUAUUAAAAUACAUUAUAUAUAUAUAUAUAUAUAUAUAUAUAUAUAUAUAUAUAUAUAUAUAUAUAUAUAUAUAUAUAUAUUUUUUUUCGAGCUUUUCGAGCUUAAUUCGAAUGAGCCGAGUAAUACUCAAGCUCGGCUUGAAAUGAAUUUCGAGUCUUUUAUUUUGUUCAAGCUCGGCUCAUUCAAUUUCG
This 717-nucleotide long non-coding RNA is filed under the name Ananas comosus (pineapple). RNAcentral's name for it is "long non-coding RNA (ACOM_LNC029519)". The record is from RNAcentral. Lineage: Eukaryota; Viridiplantae; Streptophyta; Magnoliopsida; Poales; Bromeliaceae.